Molecule: ribosomal RNA, 660 nt
Filed under: Bradyrhizobium sp.
Lineage: Bacteria; Pseudomonadati; Pseudomonadota; Alphaproteobacteria; Hyphomicrobiales; Nitrobacteraceae
Description: bacterial SSU rRNA
Rfam family: Bacterial small subunit ribosomal RNA
Source: RNAcentral
ACACAUGCAAGUCGAGCGGGCGUAGCAAUACGUCAGCGGCAGACGGGUGAGUAACGCGUGGGAACGUACCUUUUGGUUCGGAACAACACAGGGAAACUUGUGCUAAUACCGGAUAAGCCCUUACGGGGAAAGAUUUAUCGCCGAAAGAUCGGCCCGCGUCUGAUUAGCUAGUUGGUAGGGUAAUGGCCUACCAAGGCGACGAUCAGUAGCUGGUCUGAGAGGAUGAUCAGCCACAUUGGGACUGAGACACGGCCCAAACUCCUACGGGAGGCAGCAGUGGGGAAUAUUGGACAAUGGGGGCAACCCUGAUCCAGCCAUGCCGCGUGAGUGAUGAAGGCCCUAGGGUUGUAAAGCUCUUUUGUGCGGGAAGAUAAUGACGGUACCGCAAGAAUAAGCCCCGGCUAACUUCGUGCCAGCAGCCGCGGUAAUACGAAGGGGGCUAGCGUUGCUCGGAAUCACUGGGCGUAAAGGGUGCGUAGGCGGGUCUUUAAGUCAGGGGUGAAAUCCUGGAGCUCAACUCCAGAACUGCCUUUGAUACUGAAGAUCUUGAGUUCGGGAGAGGUGAGUGGAACUGCGAGUGUAGAGGUGAAAUUCGUAGAUAUUCGCAAGAACACCAGUGGCGAAGGCGGCUCACUGGCCCGAUACUGACGCUGAGGCACG